AUUGAACGCUGGCGGCAGGCCUAACACAUGCAAGUCGGACGGUAGCACAGGGGAGCUUGCUCCUCGGGUGACGAGUGGCGGACGGGUGAGUAAUGUCUGGGGAUCUGCCCGAUAGAGGGGGAUAACCACUGGAAACGGUGGCUAAUACCGCAUAAUGUCGCAAGACCAAAGAGGGGGACCUUCGGGCCUCUCACUAUCGGAUGAACCCAGAUGGGAUUAGCUAGUAGGCGGGGUAACGGCCCACCUAGGCGACGAUCCCUAGCUGGUCUGAGAGGAUGACCAGCCACACUGGAACUGAGACACGGUCCAGACUCCUACGGGAGGCAGCAGUGGGGAAUAUUGCACAAUGGGCGCAAGCCUAAUGCAGCCAUGCCGCGUGUAUAAAGAAGGCCUUCGGGUUGUAAAGUACUUUCAGCGGGGAGGAAGGCGAUGUGGUUAAUAACCGCGUCGAUUGACGUUACCCGCAGAAGAAGCACCGGCUAACUCCGUGCCAGCAGCCGCCGUAA
RNAcentral lists this ribosomal RNA (506 nucleotides) under uncultured bacterium. RNAcentral's name for it is "partial 16S ribosomal RNA". It matches the Rfam family "Bacterial small subunit ribosomal RNA", at positions 29 to 523 of the family's 1533-position model. The record is from RNAcentral.